GUCCAGGCGGAAAAACGAAACAAUCUGCAUAUCCGAAAUCCAUUUAUGAAAUGCUUGGUUUACGAACUUUGAAACAACGCCAUUGUUUUGCGAAUAGAAUAAUUGUUUCCAUAAAGGUAGCGAUUUAAAUCCGAGUCACAGCGGACGACCUUGAAGCUUUGACUCUGAAAAUCGCGGAAAACUAACUUCCAGAGACCUUCUAAGAGAAUGAAGAAACACUCCGCAAAAUAGAAACGAUAGACAUGGAAGAGGAGAAAGAGAAUUUUGGAGAUUUUCUGUUUUCUCUGUUGCUCUUCUUGUUUCUUUUUGUGUAUUUUGAUGUCAUAAAACGAAUACAGGACUACUCGAAAGAGAGAGUUACCAUAAGAGAAACCAUAGUUAAGCGAUGCUGGGGAUAGUUGGCAGCUGUUUGAAUCUAUGAAACGAACAAAAUUUUAGUGAGCUAUAUGGAUUUACAACUGUCUUAUACUGUGGUUUUAAAGACGAAAUCUUGUUUUAUCUCUUGACGGCAAAAAUACUUCUGAAUAAUCUCUAAUGAGCUGGUAUUUUAUUGAUGUGUAUAUAGAAUGUGAUACUAAUGUAAAUAAAAUGUGUAUAUAAAAUUGACUUUUAAUAAAGGUUUACUUAAGAGGACAAUUCUUCAAUGCAA
Argiope bruennichi is the source of this 649-nucleotide long non-coding RNA. RefSeq lists it as uncharacterized. Lineage: Eukaryota; Metazoa; Arthropoda; Arachnida; Araneae; Araneidae. The record is from RefSeq and is a predicted model, not a curated record. The transcript has 3 exons.